RNAcentral lists this ribosomal RNA (253 nucleotides) under uncultured bacterium. RNAcentral describes it as "partial 16S ribosomal RNA". It matches the Rfam family "Bacterial small subunit ribosomal RNA", at positions 524 to 776 of the family's 1533-position model. The record is from RNAcentral.
UACGUAGGGGGCAAGCGUUGUCCGGAUUCAUUGGGCGUAAAGAGCUCGUAGGCGGCCACUCAAGUCGAAUGUGAAACCUCGAGGCUCAACCUCGAGCCUGCAUUCGAUACUGGGCGGCUAGAGUCUGGUAGGGGGAUCUGGAAUUCCUGGUGUAGCGGUGAAAUGCGUAGAUAUCUGGAGGAACACCGGUGGCGAAGGCGGCAUCCUGGACCGGCAUUGACGCUGAAGCUCGAAAGCUAGGGGAGCAAACGGG